AUUCUGCGCUGGAUAACUGCUCCGCCUCAUCGGCGGAGAGGAAAGUCCGAACACCCGCCGAGUGCGUAAUUUAUUGUGCGCUCGACAGCAGGGUAGCGGGUAACACCCGUCCGCCGCGAGGCGCGAGGUGCGAACAGAAACGUUCUCGACUCGAAAGAAUCGGAAAAACCUGUACCCUUGAGUUUUGAUACAUCAAAACAAAACUCGGAUAAGUUCAGCAGGUUUAGCCCGGUUUAUAAAAGGGUAGGCGAAGACCGGGAUGAAACGGCUAAAUCCUUACCUGGGUGCAAGGCCGUGUCCCGCCUUUGGCGGGAAGUGCCGCUUGACCCUUCAAGUAAUUGGGGGGCUAGAUAAAUAGUUAUCGUCCCGCCUUUGGCGGGAUACAGAAUUCGGCUUAUAGGCGUAGAAUCUUA
This 413-nucleotide RNase P RNA is filed under the name Candidatus Tagabacteria bacterium CG_4_9_14_0_2_um_filter_41_11. Its description in RNAcentral is "RNase P RNA component class A". It matches the Rfam family "Bacterial RNase P class A". From Rfam's summary of the family: Ribonuclease P (RNase P) is a ubiquitous endoribonuclease, found in archaea, bacteria and eukarya as well as chloroplasts and mitochondria. Its best characterised activity is the generation of mature 5'-ends of tRNAs by cleaving the 5'-leader elements of precursor-tRNAs. The record is from RNAcentral. Lineage: Bacteria; Candidatus Tagaibacteriota.